Molecule: ribosomal RNA, 753 nt
Filed under: uncultured Actinobaculum sp.
Lineage: Bacteria; Bacillati; Actinomycetota; Actinomycetes; Actinomycetales; Actinomycetaceae
Description: bacterial SSU rRNA
Rfam family: Bacterial small subunit ribosomal RNA
Source: RNAcentral
GACGAACGCUGGCGGCGUGCUUAACACAUGCAAGUCGAACGAUGAUGCCUGCAACUUGUUGUGGGUGGAUUAGUGGCGAACGGGUGAGUAAUACGUGAGUAACCUGCCCUCCUUCUUGGGAUAAGCCUUGGAAACGGGGUCUAAUGCCGAAUAUUCUGGAUGAUUCGCAUGGAUUGUUUGGGAAAGCUUUUGUGAAGGGGGAUGGGCUCGCGGCCUAUCAGCUUGUUGGUGGGGUGAUGGCCUACCAAGGCGGUGACGGGUAGCCGGCCUGAGAGGGUGACCGGCCACAUUGGGACUGAGAUACGGCCCAGACUCCUACGGGAGGCAGCAGUGGGGGAUAUUGCACAAUGGGCGAAAGCCUGAUGCAGCGACGCCGCGUGGGGGAUGAAGGCUUUCGGGUUGUAAACCUCUUUCGCUAUCGAACAAGGCUCACUUUUUUGGUGGGUUGAGGGUAGGUGGAGAAGAAGCGCCGGCUAACUACGUGCCAGCAGCCGCGGUAAUACGUAGGGCGCGAGCGUUGUCCGGAAUUAUUGGGCGUAAAGGGCUUGUAGGCGGCUUGUUGCGCCUGCUGUGAAAACGCGGGGCUUAACUUCGCGCGUGCAGUGGGUACGGGCAGGCUUGAGUGUGGUAGGGGUGACUGGAAUUCCAGGUGUAGCGGUGGAAUGCGCAGAUAUCUGGAGGAACACCGAUGGCGAAGGCAGGUCACUGGGCCAUUACUGACGCUGAGGAGCGAAAGCAUGGGUAGCGAACAGG